Molecule: ribosomal RNA, 305 nt
Filed under: uncultured Entrophospora
Lineage: Eukaryota; Fungi; Glomeromycota; Glomeromycetes; Entrophosporales; Entrophosporaceae
Description: SSU rRNA
Rfam family: Eukaryotic small subunit ribosomal RNA
Source: RNAcentral
AGCAGCCGCGGUAAUUCCAGCUCCAAUAGCGUAUAUUAAAGUUGUUGCAGUUAAAAAGCUCGUAGUUGAAUUUCGGGAUUGACGUUAUGGUCGUGCCUUAAGGGGUAUGAACUGUCGCAGUUGAUUUCUCACCUUCUGGAGAAGCAUGAUGUCCUUAAUUGGGUGUCAUGUGGAACCAGGACCUUUACCUGAAAAAUUAGAGUGUUUAAAGCAGGCAUUUUGCUCGAAUACAUUAGCAUGGAAUAAUAGAAUAGGACGGCAUGGUUCUAUUUUGUUGGUUUCUAGGAUCACCGUAAUAAUUAAUA